This 306-nucleotide ribosomal RNA is filed under the name Triticum aestivum (bread wheat). RNAcentral describes it as "partial small subunit ribosomal RNA". Lineage: Eukaryota; Viridiplantae; Streptophyta; Magnoliopsida; Poales; Poaceae. The record is from RNAcentral.
AUGGAGCCUGUUGAGCUGCUGCGGCUGCCUCAAGUCGCCGCCGUUCAGGACGACCUGCCUUGCCAUUUUGGAACACCUGCUGUGAUUUUUGCCCUGCAGGAGCUGCGGGUCCCCGCGCCUCUACCAUCGCCAAGCUGCCUCCGGUGCUCCAGUGCACCUCUGCUUCAUCAAAUCGCGGCUGUACCUUGCUGGAGAGCUGCCAGGCGCCACUAUAGGGUCGACCUGGCGUUGGAUCUUGCCAGCGCGCAUCCGCCGCCGCGCCUCCUUGCUGCUUUUUGCCACGGUGAGCCGUCAAACGGCCUCUGA